RNAcentral lists this long non-coding RNA (401 nucleotides) under Elaeis guineensis (African oil palm). Its description in RNAcentral is "long non-coding RNA (EGUI_LNC063156)". The record is from RNAcentral. Lineage: Eukaryota; Viridiplantae; Streptophyta; Magnoliopsida; Arecales; Arecaceae.
GACUUCUACGGAAGCCAGACUUUACUUAUGACUUUGAUUGCAGAAAAACUUUGCCCUGACUCUUACGAAAACCGAGCUACUCCAACUUCCGGAGGGCUUCUCCGUUCGGACUAUCAAGGGAGCCGAACUUAGCCCCGACUUCAGCGGAGAAAAAUCCAAACAAACCUGACAAGUGGGUAUCUCCGAACGGCAUAAAAGCCGAAAAGGAGCUCGACGAAUGACGACCCCACAUGAACUGAAAAGGUUGUCGACGAUCUUGGAACAACGUAACACAGACAAAGAGAAGGAAAGGAAAAUGAAGAAGUUCGGCAGACAACUAUUCAACACAAGAUGCAAACAAGGUACUGAAAUCACUUUUUCAUUUAAUAAAAGUACACGUUACAGGACCCGGUGGGUCAGGA